AUAACCACUAAGAAUAGGAAAUUAUCUUUAUCUUUAUCUAGUCAGCGAACCCAAUUUAGUGUGAGUGGGGAUAGGAAAGUAAAGUGAAAGUAGCCUAGGAGUGCCUGAAGUGAAAGUAAUUGUAGCUUUAGGCGGGUGCGCCCGUUAUAGCGUCAACGUAUCUAGUUAACUAUGUACGGGGUAAGGGAAUAAUAGUAAUAUUAUUCUAAAAUAAGGUGGUAACACGCGUGAUAACGUCCUUAUG
Molecule: non-coding RNA, 244 nt
Filed under: Lactobacillus hominis
Lineage: Bacteria; Bacillati; Bacillota; Bacilli; Lactobacillales; Lactobacillaceae
Description: T-box sequence
Rfam family: T-box leader
About the family: Uncharged tRNA acts as the effector for transcription antitermination of genes in the T-box leader family. T-boxes are found upstream of many aminoacyl-tRNA synthetase genes and some amino acid biosynthetic genes usually in Gram-positive bacteria.
Source: RNAcentral